AUUGAACGCUGGCGGCAUGCCUUACACAUGCAAGUCGAACGGCAGCGGACCUUCGGGUGCCGGCGAGUGGCGAACGGGUGAGUAAUAUAUCGGAACGUACCUUUCAGUGGGGGAUAACGUAGCGAAAGUUACGCUAAUACCGCAUAUUCUGUGAGCAGGAAAGCAGGGGAGUCGCAAGACCUUGCGCUGAUUGAGCGGCCGAUAUCAGAUUAGCUAGUUGGUGAGGUAAAGGCUCACCAAGGCGACGAUCUGUAGCGGGUCUGAGAGGAUGAUCCGCCACACUGGAACUGAGACACGGUCCAGACUCCUACGGGAGGCAGCAGUGGGGAAUUUUGGACAAUGGGCGCAAGCCUGAUCCAGCCAUGCCGCGUGAGUGAAGAAGGCC
This 385-nucleotide ribosomal RNA is filed under the name uncultured bacterium. RNAcentral describes it as "bacterial SSU rRNA". It matches the Rfam family "Bacterial small subunit ribosomal RNA", at positions 30 to 416 of the family's 1533-position model. The record is from RNAcentral.